GAUGAACGCUGGCGGCGUGCCUAAUACUUGCAAGUCGAGCGAACGGACGAGAAGCUUGCUUCUCUGAUGUUAGCGGCGGACGGGUGAGUAACACGUGGAUAACCUACCUAUAAGACUGGGAUAACUUCGGGAAACCGGAGCUAAUACCGGAUGAUAUUUUGAACCGCAUGGUUCAAAAGUGAAAGACGGUCUUGCUGUCACUUAUAGAUGGAUCCGCGCUGCAUUAGCUAGUUGGUGAGGUAACGGCUUACCAAGGCAACGAUGCAUAGCCGACCUGAGAGGGUGAUCGGCCACACUGGAACUGAGACACGGUCCAGACUCCUACGGGAGGCAGCAGUAGGGAAUCUUCCGCAAUGGGCGAAAGCCUGACGGAGCAACGCCGCGUGAGUGAUGAAGGUCUUCGGAUCGUAAAACUCUGUUAUUAGGGAAGAACAUAUGUGUAAGUAACUGUGCACAUCUUGACGGUACCUAAUCAGAAAGCCACGGCUAACUACGUG
Molecule: ribosomal RNA, 497 nt
Filed under: uncultured bacterium
Lineage: Bacteria
Description: partial 16S ribosomal RNA
Rfam family: Bacterial small subunit ribosomal RNA
Source: RNAcentral